AUGCAAGCUAAUUCGAUGAACGCGGAGGCGCUGAAAUCAGUUUUGGAUUCUUAUUGUGCUGCUUCGGGGCAAAUGGUGAGUGUUGAAAAAUCUAGUAUAUUUUUUAGUCCCAACACGAAAGUGGAAGAUAAGGCGCAUAUAUGUACUAUUCUGAAUAUUAUGACUGAAGCUCUCAAUGACAAAUAUUUGGGUCUGCCUUCAAAUGUGGGUAUGGACAAAAGUGAUUGUUUCCAAUUCUUAAUAGAUCGAAUUGUCAUGAAAAUUAGUGGUUGGAAGGAAAAGCUGCUAUCAGCAGGAGGAAAGGAAAUCCUUCUCAAAUCGGUUGUACAAGCUAUCCCAACUUAUGCAAUGUCCGUCUUUAAAUUCCUAAAAAAAAUAUGUAAAGAAAUCAUUGACGCGAUGUCGCACUUUUGGUGGGGUGAUGAAGACAAUCAGAAGAGAAUGCAUUGGAUGGCAUGGUGGAAGAUGUGUGUACCAAAAGACCAAGGAGGAAUGGGUUUUCGAGACAUACAUUGUUUCAAUCUGGCCUUGUUAGCCAAACAAGCGUGGCACCUGCUUGAUAAUCCUGAUUCCCUAUGUGCCACCAUUUUGAGAGCUAAAUAUUUUCCGGAUGGAGAUUUAAUGAAUGCGAGUCUGAAAAAGGAUCUUCUUUCACUUGGCAAAGCAUUAUGGCCAGAGUGGAUUCUCUCAAAAAAGGUUAUAUUUGGAGAGUUGGUAAUGGACAAAAUAUUGAUAUUUGGAGAGAUGCAUGGAUCCCGAAUGGGGCCAAUAGAAAAAUUAUCACUCCUAGAAGAGGGCAGCUUCUAA
This 807-nucleotide ribosomal RNA is filed under the name Triticum aestivum (bread wheat). RNAcentral's name for it is "partial small subunit ribosomal RNA". Lineage: Eukaryota; Viridiplantae; Streptophyta; Magnoliopsida; Poales; Poaceae. The record is from RNAcentral.